This is a long non-coding RNA of Oryctolagus cuniculus (rabbit), 3669 nucleotides long. Lineage: Eukaryota; Metazoa; Chordata; Mammalia; Lagomorpha; Leporidae. The record is from Ensembl.
AAAUAAAUGAAGUUGUUAAUUAAAAAGGAAGCAGGACUUGGUGGAAACACAGCGGAAUGUCCCGGAAUAGAAGCUGUGACUGAGAGCCGCAUGCGGCUGUGUGGCAGAGCACAAGUGGGACCGGGACUCAGACCUGCGCCCUUGGUGGAUUCCAUUUCCCGGUCUCCGUGAUGGAUGGAGACAGGCAGGUGACGGAUGUCAGGGAUGAGGCUCAGCUGCAGUGUGUUAGCUGUGACUGCUUAGGAAAAGAUGUCCUUCCAGUGACAACGGAUAAAUGAAAACGGCAGGAAGACUCGGAGCACCUGGCAGCCCUUUUGUUAUCGUGAGGAAGCUCCUGCCUAAGAAUGAGACCAGCACAAAAUGGGAAUGAGACGGACGCCCAAGAACAUCCAUUGAAUGCCUAGCCCCGGCCAUGCCUGGAGCUGGAAUCUUUUCACUGUUCUGCGAGCUAAUACUCGUAUAUCCUGUGUCUCUCAAGCUGGCUGAAUUAGGUCCAGAUGUGUCCCAUUUUUAUAUUAACAAUCCGUCACUCAGGAAAGCCGAGUAAGUUUCCUACGCUGAGGACGUGGCCAUGUAGGUAGGGGAGCCAGCGCCAACCCGGAUUUUCCUGGAUCUUAACUCCGUAAUCUCAACUCCUGGGCAAUUGCUUCUGAAAUUGACUUAAAAGAGAUACUGAAGGCCAGGGGAAGGGUGGGGGAUGGUGCCUGCAUUGUGACUCAGUAGGUUUAGUGGCACCCCAGCUUAUAUGGGUGCUGGUUGGAGUCACGGCUGCUCCACUUCCCAUCCAGCUCCCUGCUCAUGCGCCUGGGAAAGCAGCGGAAGAUCGCCCAUGUAGGAGAUCUAGAAAAAGCCCUUGGCUCUUGGCUUCAGUCUGGGCCAGCCCUGGCCAUUGUGGCCAUCUAGGGAGUGAACCAGCAGAUGGAUGGUGUCUCUCUGUCUCUCCCUCUCUCUCUAUAACUCUGCCUUUCCAAAAAAAGUAAAUGAAUCUUUAAAAAGGAGAGAGAGAGAGAGAGAGAUAUUCCGGGAUUGUUUUCUCUUAGAGGUUUAAGGUGAUACCAGCAGUCAAUCAGGAGGAGAAAGCCUGGUGACUCUGCUGCCAAGAUUCUGGGAUCUGUGACUCCUUCGGACCUCUCUGAACGAGGAAGUGACAGCUGUUAACUGUGGCCAGACUGAGAUGUCAGAGGCACCCGCGUUUGACUUUCUGUUCUGACUGCCAACUGUAGGGGCCCUCUGGAUGCAGAAUGUUUUAAAUAGUCUUUUCUAGUAAUGGUUGAAAUGCUGUGUGCUAGUUCAAUUUUCAUGACUUCAAUUAAAAUACCAAGAGGAACAUCUUGGGAACGAAAAGGCUUGAUUUCGGCUGAGAGUUUGGAGUUUGAGCUGAGGAUCGGGUGAGCCCAUGGGGUGGGGUCUGGUGGGUGCUCACUGUGGCAGGUGUGGAGGCAUGGUCAUGCGGUAACCCAGGAAGCAGAGUGGGAGAGCAAGCUGGCCUGAACUUGCACCCAGGACAACCAACAUGUGCACAAGAGCCUCUCUCUGCAGGCACACCCCCAGCGACAUCGCCCAUCAGGCACCAAAGCUGUAUCAAAGCUCCACCCACAAUCCAUCUAUCAUUAGCACGAAGACAUUGAAGACAUCGAGUUUAAAUAUCUGAGUGCACUGGGGGGAGGCGAGUCCCACUUAACCCGUAAAGCUCUGCUUUGUUCUUAAAUAGUUUGUAAUUCACAAGGAGUUACAGAAGUAGCCAUCACCCAGUGUCCCCUGGUGCAUGGAUCUCACGUAAUGGUAGACAUGGGUGCAGCGCUAAGAGCGCCAACACAACCUCAGCCGGACUUGGCUAGCUUUAGGUGAGCUUUUCUUGUUCUGACGUAGGAACUAGGAAGCUGUAUGAGAGGUGGAUUGGAGCGGGUCCCAUGGAGACCACGACAUGGGGCUGCUCCGUCACCAUGGAGAUGCCCCUGCCAUCCCCAAUGUCCCACCCCACCCUGGCCUUAGCCAUUGGCCACCACCAACCUGUUCUCCCUCGCACUGGCUGUCUUCCUGCCAGGAAUGUUCUAUAAACGAUUCACACAGGACAUAGCCUGUGGCUGGGCUGUGGCAGGUGCGGCAGGUGUCCCUGGAUCCUGCCUGUGGGUGUAACCACAAGUAAUGCAGCCACUCGUCUCCGGGAGGUUCGGGUUCAUUCCUGUUUGGGGCUAUGAUGAAAAAGACCAGUCUUUAGGUCUUGUGUGAAAACAAGUUGUCAUUUUCUACAGGAUGCACCCAGGAGUGGGAAUUCAAGGUCACUGGGUGAUUUUACGUUUAACUUUAUAAGAAAGGAUCAUUCCCAUUUCUUAUAGAAGACUUGUCCAGCUUUCUAGAACAUUCCUUCAACACUGGCCUGGGAGGCACGUGCCUCCAUGCCCAGCUUCUUAGGAGGAGCCAGACUGCAAAAACCACCCUCUCCCCCUCCAGUCCCCAUGCUUAAAGGCAACUAGGAAGUGAAAUCGAAACUCGCAUUCAAAGCGACUUUUAUCUUCCUAUUUAUUUUCUGAUUAGAGACCCAGCACUUACUGAGAGUCAGGCUAUUGGUAAGACAUUAGCCAAGGGUGAAGAAAAAGGGGAAAAAAUCUCCCACAAGCUCCUGCCCCAGACAAAGCCAGGGCUGGCACUCCAGGCGUGGGCUCCACUGCCCGUUCUCAGCCGCCUGUUUAAAUGUCUACAGGUGACAUCCACCUCCCCAGCUGGGCUCCGUGUUCCUCUUCCCAGGAACGAGCAGGGCAGGGGAACCAAUAGCAAAUAACCCCAGCCCAAGGGAAAAGACACCCAAGGUCGUGAUCCGUCCCCUCUCAUCCACCUGCACCUCCUCUCUUCUCCUCUCUCCCGUCAUGCGCCUGUGGGCUGUGUGACUCAUUCUUAUCAGCUCCAGGCACCUGGUGCAUUGUGGGAGAGCCCCUGGGCCGGGUGGGAGCUCUUUCCAGGGAGACGCCCCUGUGCCGGGGUUCCUUGAGCUGAUUUGCUUCUCCCCCAGCCUCCCUCACUUAACCAAGGCUCAGGGUUGCAUGGAAAUGAGCUGCCCACAUGCUUAUCCCCAGAGACGCACUCUAAGAGAGGCCCCAGAAGUUACCCACUGAGGGGGAGGGGGACGAGUCGAGGAGAGGCAGAGAGACAGAGAGAGAGCUCCCAUCCGCUGGAUCACUCCCCAAGCAUCCACAACAUCUGGGGCUGGGCCAGGCCAAAGCCAGAAGCUGGGAACUCCAUCCGGGUCUCCACUGUGGGUGGCAAAGACCCAACAACAUGAACCAUCACCUGCUGCCUCCCAGGGUGUGCACUGGUAGGAGCUGGCACCAGACUCAGAGGCAGGAAUCAAAUCCGGGACCCCAGUGAGGGAUGCAGGCAUCUUAAGCUACAAGGCUAAAUGCCUACGCCUCAUCGGAACUUUUGAUGACCCUGUCUCAAGGUUAAUAUUUGCGGAAUCUGGCUCAGUAAGGGGUCUUGGCUUCUGGAACUGUGGCUUGGCCAAAAUGGGGGAACACCCCCGAGCCAGCCCCCCACCCCGACCAUGGCACUGGGAGGACAGGAGAGGAAGAGAGAAGUGAGAUUCCAGCACAACGUGUCCACAGCUGCUGCAUUGCUUUGGGUGGGGGAGUGGAUCACAAUAAAUGUCAAGGUCCAAGGAGGGUGGAAACUACC